This is a long non-coding RNA of Aquila chrysaetos chrysaetos, 2244 nucleotides long. RefSeq lists it as uncharacterized. The record is from RefSeq and is a predicted model, not a curated record. Lineage: Eukaryota; Metazoa; Chordata; Aves; Accipitriformes; Accipitridae. The transcript is spliced from 2 exons.
UCCACCCACCCGAGCUACCAUCGCGCGGCCAGGGGCCCGUUCUGCAAGGUGCGCUCACCGGGUAUCCUCGGAGACACCGCGCGGCCCUAAAACGGCUCCUCCGGCAUCGCCCUCGCCGGGUCGUCGCGUACCUGCGAAAAGUCACCGAGAAAAUUUCUUGGACGGAGAGGGAAGGAGGUGCUUUCGCCCGGUAGCUGCAGCACAGGCCAGAAGUUAAAAUAUACGAAAAGAGCUGCUCCCAGCUUGCGCCGGCCCACGGGCUACGGCCUUUCUUCCGUCAACCCGGCAGCUACAAGCAGGAUCGAGAGUUGCAGCGGGCUGUAGCGUAGCUCGCUGGGCUAAAAUCACCAGACCCUCUUGCCGCUCUAGGACUGCAACACUCUAAAAAGCCCCAUGGCUUUUACUCGCCUUCUGGUCUCGGUGAAUUGUAAUACGCUACAUGGCGAUCGUACCUUUCCAGCGUUUUUUAAAACAAGCUGCCGGGGGGAAGGAGGCCUGGGCAAGAAAGGGUUUUGAGAGCCCCAAAUCUUGUAACCGUUAAAAACUGCAGUAGUAUCCGUAAGCGAAUGGCAGAAGACCCGCAAAGGAAGGUUUGUGUUGGGAUGAACACGCAGCAGCUCCGCAGGCUUUCUUUGAACCCUCUCCCCCUGCAAGCCCUGCGCCGGUUUGCCUGCUCGUAGCUGCGCCCUUGAGGGAGGGAGCAACACGCUCGCAAGCAACCGCAGGGACCUUUUCUCCCCAUACUCUCUCCUUUAUUGUCAUCCGGUUCGCUUCCCUCUUCUCUUUCGAUGGCAGUUCCCCCUUGGUGGGCGCUGCCGAGCGUUCUUCUUGCCCGCUCGCUGCCAGCUCGUCACUUGACUUGUAAUCAUGACUAAGGAGGACGGAGAGAAGCAACUUGUGCCAGCUUCCCACCUCUCUCGCCCAGCUGCCCGGCUUGGCGCAAGGCCAGCGUCGCAGGAAACAGCAUUUGAACAGCAGCUGCCAUUGCUCCCAGGGCUGCCAGCCGACAAGGCUGACCUGCGAAGCACCAGGCAGACAGCAUCUAAUGGCAACGGCCAAAAAGAAACAGGAACGUUUCUUCUUCCCAGCUCUGAUGAUUUGAAUUGAUAUGGAAGAAAAAGACACACUUUAAAAACGCUUGCUUGUGCGUGGAGUUUAAGAGCAGGUAUGCGCAUCUGAAGAUAGCGAAGGCAGUUAUGAAGGAGAGCUGACUUGAUUCAGGAACAUAAAACGGUGGGCCUGAAAGAAAAUGGGUGAAGCUAAUCAGAGAGAAGACACGGGAAGGAGACAAACAUUUACACUGCAGCAGGAGAGCCAGCCCCAUCACUCUCAGCACCAGGCCCGCAAUCGGGCUCCAGUGUGUAGCACCAUCUGCAGGAACCAGAAAACACCACGUCCAAGAACUGGUGGCACCUUGGUGGGCCACCAGACAGCUUCAGGUGUUGCUGCCGCAUCAUCUCCAGGCUGCAGCCAGGGUAGCCACGUUGUCAGAAGUCACAAACAUGCUGUGGAUGCAACCGCUCUCAGUGCGCUGUGUGAAUCUGGCCUACAAUCUCUUCAUACUACAAUGGCAGAGUUAAAGCUAAAAGCCGAAUAAUGUGAGAGGGAGAACAAAGAAUUAAACUAUUGUUGCUUAGUGUAACAAGACCUAUUUUUUUCAAGGAUAAUUAUGCUGAAGAGCCCAAAAGCAGCAAGAAAUCUCCUUCUUUGGAGAGUUAAUGAUUAACAACAACAAAAAAAAUCUUGUAAAAUACCUCAGACUUUGGUAUGUAACAAAAGUCAUAGAAGUAAAAAACACUUUAUGAUUUUACAGAAUUUCACCUCUUCCAAGCAUAGUCAGACCAUGGUAGUGGCUGGGAGAGAGGCACAAGAUGGGCAACACGUUGGGUUGCAAGUACUGGGUAAACGAAGUGAAGCCAAUGUUUUUGGGAGUGCUUCAAGCUCCCUAGGCCAGACAGGAUGUUACUCUAAGCAUUCGCUCUUCCAGCUUCAUUGUCACAGCCACACUUCCAGUUUCAUUUCAUUGUUAAUAUACCAUGUCUGUCCUCCACUUACCCUUAGCAUGUCUGAAUGCUAGAGAGAAAGCAAAUUUAGCCUCAACCUUGGUCAACAUCUAAAAUUUUUAACGCACAGUUGUAUUGGUGUGACCAGCUGACAAAGCUAUGCUGAUAAAAAACCUGGGGAAGAUACUAAUGUAUCUACCACAUCUGUAUACGAUUUGUAUUAAAGCACACAAAAUCAAAA